CACACACUAAUACCAUUUUGUCUCUGAAUUAUCUGGCAGACAUUCCUGUUGAUACUCUCAGUUUAUGUAAAAUUGAUACAUAUGUUGCAUUCUCAAUUCUGUCAACGUGCUGUUUGUAAUACAUGUAAUUGAUUAGAGGAAGGCAGACGGAUAUGCAAAGUUCCCAGCACUAAGACAAUACGAUGCAUCUGUGGUUGGAAUUUACCCAGGUCAAGUUACUUAUUAUGUAUUUAUGUCCUGAGGAAACUGAAAUGAACUGAAACGUUGACAACUAUAUUGGAAUAAACCG
This is a non-coding RNA of Pelobates cultripes (western spadefoot toad), 289 nucleotides long. Lineage: Eukaryota; Metazoa; Chordata; Amphibia; Anura; Pelobatidae. The record is from the annotation of a GenBank genome assembly.